AGAGUUUGAUCAUGGCUCAGGACGAACGCUGGCGGCGUGGAUUAGGCAUGCAAGUCGAACGGUAUGGUGCUUUCGGGCAUCAGAGAGUGGCGAACGGGUGAGUAACACGUAGGUAAUCUACCCUCAAGACGGGGACAACCCAGGGAAACUUGGGCUAAUACCGGAUGAUAGCAGCAGCGAUGUUGUUUAAAAGAUGGCUUUCGGGCUGUCGUUUGGGGAUGAGCCUGCGUCCUAUUAGCUAGUUGGUGUGGUAAAGGCACACCAAGGCGAUGAUAGGUAGGCGGCCUUAACGGGUGGUCGCCCACACUGGGAUUGAGAUACGGCCCAGACUCCUACGGGAGGCAGCAGUCGAGAAUAGUCUACAAUGGUCGGAAGACUGAUAGUGCGACGCCGCGUGAACGAGGAAGCCCUUCGGGGUGUAAAGUUCUUUUAUAUGUGAGCAGUGGGUUCUACGUUAAUAGCGUGGGAUCAGGGAUAUUAGCAUAUGAAUAAGCAACGGCUAACUCCGUGCCAGCAGCCGCGGUAACACGGGGGUUGCGAGCGUUGUCCGGAAUUACUAGGCGUAAAGGGCAGGUAGGCGGAUCUAUAAGUUUUUUGUCAAAUUCAACGGCUCACCCGUUGCGCGGCAGGAGAUACUGUAGAUCUGGAAUGCGGUUGGGGAAGACAGAAUUCCUGGUGUAGCGGUGGAAUGCGCAGAGAUCAGGAGGAAUACCUAAGGCGAAGGCAGUCUUCUAAGCCGUAAUUGACGCUAAACUGCGAAGGUGUGGGUAUCAAACAGGAUUAGAUACCCUGGUAGUCCACACAGUAAACGAUAAUCACUGG
This 822-nucleotide ribosomal RNA is filed under the name uncultured bacterium. Its description in RNAcentral is "bacterial SSU rRNA". It matches the Rfam family "Bacterial small subunit ribosomal RNA", at positions 8 to 819 of the family's 1533-position model. The record is from RNAcentral.